Molecule: ribosomal RNA, 403 nt
Filed under: Mytilus edulis (blue mussel)
Lineage: Eukaryota; Metazoa; Mollusca; Bivalvia; Mytilida; Mytilidae
Description: partial 16S ribosomal RNA
Rfam family: Bacterial large subunit ribosomal RNA
Source: RNAcentral
GUCUGUUGUAAACGGCGGCGUUAACGUGAGCGUCCUAAGGUAGCGCGAUAAUUUGCUUUUCAAUUGAAGGAUGGUAUGAAAGGGUUAACGAAGAAGGUGCUGUGUCUAAAAAUUCAAUUUAAACUAACUUUAAGGUGAAGAGGCCUUUAUGUAAAAGAAGGACGACAAGACCCUAUGAAGCUUUAUCUUAAUUGGAGCUCUCAGGCUCUUAUACGAUUUUGAUGGGAGAUCAGUAGAAAGAAGUCUUCUACUAUCAUAUCAAUCUUACUAGUAUUUCCUAACUUUAUAUGUGUGGCUAGCUACUCUAGGGAUAACAGCGCAAUUUCUCCCGAAAGAUGGUAUUGGAGGGGAAGAUUGCGACCUCGAUGUUGGCUUUAGAUAUCCUAGAGGCGUAGAAGCUUCU